This 734-nucleotide long non-coding RNA is filed under the name Chloebia gouldiae (Gouldian finch). RNAcentral's name for it is "Erythrura gouldiae (Gouldian finch) lncRNA (ENSEGOG00005000526.1)". The record is from RNAcentral. Lineage: Eukaryota; Metazoa; Chordata; Aves; Passeriformes; Passeridae.
CUGAGGAUGCUGGCACGUCAUUCAUUUCUGUCCACACUACAGCACAGAGACAGGCUAUGUGAUUGUUCCUGUGCUCAGUGGAAGCUGGUCUCAAUGGAAAAAAUAUUUCAAAUUAUUGGCAUUUUGUGUAGUAGAAAAUAAGAAAUGAAGUGUUAAAUUUUGGGUCACAGUGUACAAAAACACUAUGGGAAAAACAGCAUGCAUUGUUUCAGCUGAUGAAAACCAAUAAACAACAAAACAAAGGCCCACGGAAGCCAAAGGAACUGCUAGAGACAAUGUGAAGUCCUGUUUAAGAGAAAAGAAGAAAUAAGUCUGCACAGCACUAACAGGUACUCAGGAAUGGUAACUUCAGGAGAGCUUGUGGGAGAGGAUGAAUUCUGCUGCAGCCUUUCUACAUCAAAAAAAAAGACCCUUUUUAGCACAAGAUCCUUAUGCUACUACUGAAGUGCAAAAAUGUCCUGGCAUCUCUGAACAAAUAGAAAAGCCUGUCCCAGUAAUGCGAAUUCCCCCGAGGCACCGAAGUUUGCUGGGCAGGCGCCCCGCUUGCGAGCGCGGAAGCCGCCGGCUCGCAGUCCCAGAGGACCCCUCCGCUGCGAGCAGCUCGAGGGGCUGACUUCGUACACGGUUCAGAAAGACGCCAUUUCAGGCAUUCGCUGGCUUUUCCCAAGCCGGACACAGCAGCUCCCCGGAAAACUAAGUGUUAUUUUUUCCUGCCGCACCUGAGCGCAAAAGCG